GACGAACGCUGGCGGCGUGCCUAACACAUGCAAGUCGAACGGGGUUAUUUCUUCGGAGAUAACUUAGUGGCGAACGGGUGAGUAACGCGUGAGAAACCUGCCUUUCAGUGGGGGACAACAGUUGGAAACGACUGCUAAUACCGCAUAAUGUCAUUUGGGGGCAUCCCUGAAUGACCAAAGAUUUAUUGCUGAAAGAUGGUCUCGCGUCUGAUUAGCUUGUUGGCGGGGUAACGGCCCACCAAGGCGACGAUGCGUAGCCGACCUGAGAGGGUGAACGGCCACACUGGGACUGAGACACGGCCCAG
Molecule: ribosomal RNA, 305 nt
Filed under: uncultured bacterium
Lineage: Bacteria
Description: bacterial SSU rRNA
Rfam family: Bacterial small subunit ribosomal RNA
Source: RNAcentral